Molecule: ribosomal RNA, 253 nt
Filed under: uncultured bacterium
Lineage: Bacteria
Description: partial 16S ribosomal RNA
Rfam family: Bacterial small subunit ribosomal RNA
Source: RNAcentral
UACGGGGGGAGCAAGCGUUGUUCGGAUUUACUGGGCGUAAAGGGCGCGUAGGCGGCCUGUUAAGUCGGACGUGAAAUCCCUCGGCUCAACCGGGGAACUGCGUCCGAUACUGGCGGGCUGGAGUUCGGUAGGGGAGACUGGAAUUCCUGGUGUAGCGGUGAAAUGCGUAGAGAUCGGAAGGAACACCAGUGGCGAAGGCGGCUACCUGGCCUAAUACUGACACUGAGGCACGAAAGCGUGGGGAGCAAACAGG